Molecule: long non-coding RNA, 829 nt
Filed under: Bos grunniens (domestic yak)
Lineage: Eukaryota; Metazoa; Chordata; Mammalia; Artiodactyla; Bovidae
Description: lncRNA (ENSBGRG00000016353.1)
Source: RNAcentral
AUGGCGGAAGCAGUGAAGUCAGAGAAAUCUGUGCAAAAGAUCCUGAUUCCUCUGGGGUACGAACUUGCAUGGUGCAGGGGACGAAUGUUUCUAAAUGACACAGGAAGCCAUUUGAUGCUGUCCUCAAGCCCCAGGGAUUUUACAGAGUAGGUUUUGAAGAGAUUAUGGUGCCAUCUGUGUAUGCCCAGAAGUGAUAAUUAUAAUAGCAGAAGAACCAGCCUCAGCUUUGGUGCCUUCUUUUUCAAAAGUGACCUGAAUGGAGUCAUUGCAUUUACUGAUUAGUUACAGUUCUUUCUCUUCAUUCAAAUUGGUAAUGAGGGAAACAAUACUUCUCAAUACUCUUUUAGUAAAAAUGAAUAUCUCCUGAAGUAAACAGUUCAGGUGUAGACUACUUAAUGGGCUUAUUCAGCAGAGUUUAUGAAAAAGUUGAACCAGUUCAUUCUUAGCUUGUUUUCAGUUUUUACAUACGGAUUAUCUUUUGCUAGUCUGUGAAGCUUGUAAACCACCUUCUGUGCCAAGCUAUUGUUUCUUAGCUGCCAGCCCACUCUUCCAAACUCGACUUUGUGAUGGUGAGGCUGAGAUUUUGUCAACCACAUUUCAGCACUGCCACUUGGCUCCUGGCUAGGCUAUACCACUAGAGACCACUAGAUGGGCUUCCUGUUUAUUUCCUAUGACUGUGCUAUACUUCUUCAUCUUUUCCGCAUUAUCUUCCCUUAAUUUAUUGGGAAUUCAGAGAUUAGGAUUGACAUAAAUACUGUGUGUAAAUUAGCUAGUGGGAAGCCUCUGUACAGCACAGGAAGCUCAGCUCGGUGUCUGUGAUGACCUAGAG